RNAcentral lists this ribosomal RNA (478 nucleotides) under uncultured bacterium. RNAcentral describes it as "partial 16S ribosomal RNA". It matches the Rfam family "Bacterial small subunit ribosomal RNA", at positions 28 to 523 of the family's 1533-position model. The record is from RNAcentral.
GACGAACGCUGGCGGCGUGCUUAACACAUGCAAGUCGAACGGUAAGGCCCUUCGGGGUGCACGGGUGGCGAACGGGUGAGUAACACGUGGGUGAUCUGCCCUGCACUUCGGGAUAAGCCUGGGAAACUGGGUCUAAUACCGGAUAGGACCACUGCCUGCAUGGGUGGUGGUGGAAAGCUUUUGCGGUGUGGGAUGGGCCCGCGGCCUAUCAGCUUGUUGGUGGGGUGAUGGCCUACCAAGGCGACGACGAGUAGCCGGCCUGAGAGGGUGACCGGCCACACUGGGACUGAGAUACGGCCCAGACUCCUACGGGAGGCAGCAGUGGGGAAUAUUGCACGAUGGGCGCAAGCCUGAUGCAGCGACGCCGCGUGAGGGAUGACGGUCUUCGGGUUGUAAACCUCUUUCAGCACCGACGAAGCGCAAGUGACGGUAGGUGCAGAAGAAGGACCGGCCAACUACGUGCCAGCAGCCGCCGUAA